UUUUUUUUUUUUUUUUUUUUUUGGGUCUUUGGUGUUUAGCUUGUAGUAAUUGUUAUGAUUUCGCUGACGAGUGGUAUCAAUGGAAGCUAAUUUGGGUUAUGCUUCUUUUUUUCUUUUUCUGCUCUGAAAUCGUUUGCUUGAUUUGGCAUCCUUUCUUUGCUUACUAAUAACGUGUGAUCUUCAAUGAAUCUGUUGAAUGAAUGUUUACAUUUCAUCAUUUACCUUUUGGUGACAGAGGAAAAAUAACGUAUACUUGAAAUUUGAAAUUAAAACCAUAUGCGAUAUUGCAGGAUGAUUUUGUAUAAACUACAGUUUCUGACCAUGCUCUCUCCAGUUUACCUUUGUGAAAGGAUUAUCACUUCACUUGGUUGGUCUUUUGCUGUCGGCUGUCAAUGUUCUAUACCUUAUUGAUUUUGCUUAAGCAUUCAAUCAGAAGAAGUAUGUAUGCAGAGCUAAAACUUCUGUCCAGUUUGAAAGUUUUCAGGAUAUAUAAAGGACCGACCUACUUUGAUUUUAGUCAGUCAGAAGAUGCAAGAAAUAUCAUUUGGCUGAGAAACAACAUUGCACAUUCGUAUUUUCUCUACGAUCAUUUGGUUGUUUGAUGAUCUUUCGUAUCUUCCCAUGAUGUGAAAUUUUGAUUGUCUAAUCUGUUGAUUUCUGAUAAAUGUACUUCAUUGCGUUGUAUCUUUUAGUCAGUUCAUUGGUAUCUUGAAGAUACAUAUAUAUAUGGUUCUCUCCUUGUCUGUCUUAGGAUAGAACAUCGCUGAAAUCAAAAUGUAUCGAGUUGCACAAGCAUCGGAGUUUCUAGUGAUCACCGGAAUUUUUGUCAAUGACAUAAAGAUUACAAAGAAAGCGAUUAUCUGGCCAUUCCAGAAAUGUAGCGUCAUUGAUGUUACCCCUGUAAACUACACCUUCAAAGUCAAUGCAAUGAGUGCCGAGAAGCUAGCCUUCUUUCUCCCUGCUGUUUUCACCAUAGGUCCAAAAGUUGAGGAUUAUGAGAGCCUCGUUAAGUAUGCCAAGCUUCUUUCUCAUCAGCAGCGCGAUUCCCAUGAUGUCAAGGAACUUGUUAAAGGUGUCAUUGAGGGAGAAACUCGUGUUCUUGCGGCUUCGAUGACUAUGGAAGAAAUCUUUCGAGGCACCAAAGAUUUCAAGCGGGAGGUGUUUGAGAAGGUUCAGUUGGAACUGAACCAGUUUGGACUUCUGAUUUAUGACAGGUUGUCGAAGCCUGUGCAAUAAUAAAACCUGCUCAAACUAAAAUUAAUUUCUGUAAAUAGUGAUAAGCAGGGUCGAAUCCACAGGAACUGGGAGUAAUUGUUUCUUUUCAAGUUCACAGUGACAAGGGGGGUGUUUUUGUGCAGAAGGUGACAAUCCAAGAAGUCCAACUAAAAUCUAAAAAACUACUAAAAACUAAAUAAAAAAAUUACUAAAAUCAAAUGAAUGAUAAUUAAGGAUCUAGCCAAGAAAUAACUUCAGCAAUGGUGCACCUAAUUGAUCAUCGAUAAGCAAAGGCAAUUCCAAUUAUUUACUAAUAAAUAGGUUAUAACUACCAAACAAGCGAUGACAGUCAACCCCUCCUUACUGUGUCGAUGAUUAAGGUACGCCCGUUAAUCACUGCUCUAAUUGAGAAAUAAUCCUAGGUACGCCCAUAGAAUUUAAUUCCCCAAUUGCCUUACGUAUUAGAGGAGCCCUAUUCUAAUCAAAUAACACACUACCAGGGUUAUUUUAGAUUAGCCCGCGUAUUCCCCUGACACAAACCUAAUCAUGCCAGUUGCCACUAUUUUAGAGCAAUUAAACAAUUACGGAUUUAAUGCCCUAAUUGACAAUAGAUUAUCCAAUCAACUAAUUAUCUGGAUCCAAGACAAUCAAUUAAUUAAAUAACCAUAAGCAUAGCAACCAAGAAAUAUGCAAAUACCAAUAAAUAAAAGAAACAGAUAAAAUUAAAUCGAUCUCACAAUUUUAGACGACCCAAAGCAUCCGUUGUUCCUUGACUAGAGUGAGGAAAUUAGUUCAUAAUUGAUGAACAAAAUCCACACAAAAUUAAAACAAGAGUCGCGGCCAUCGUCUCCGAGAGUUAAGAAAAUUCAAUUCGUCCCAAUCGAUAAGAAAAGCAAACUACCAGAAGUGAUAGCUAAUUCCUAAUUCUCCCUGACAUGCGCAGGGUGCAAAGCUACUAAAGGACAAAAAAUACUGAAAAGAAAAGUCAAAGAGGAACAAAAAAGAUAGUGCUUGUUCUCUGCAAACUCUAUAUUUCCUAAGUGCUUAUUCCUACUGUGCGGCGUCCGCCGCACGAGAGGAAGCCGAAGACCUUCAGGUUUGCUUUCUUUUCCCCUUUUUCUAGUUGCUGUCUUCGGUCAAAAUUACCAAUAAGGUCUUGCAUUUUCUUAUUCCAAGAAUGCCCCUUGAUUGCCUACUAUUUGAACUCUUUCCCGAUAACUAUCAAAUUGGCCUGCUAUUUGAACUCUUUCCCGAUGACUAUCAAAUUGGCCUUGAUUGUGACAUUUUUAUUCUACUCCCUGAAAUAAAUGUAAAAUACAAAAAAUGAGUAGAAUCUAAUAAUUAAUUCACAUUGGUUUAAGUAAUAGGGGAAAUUAAUUAUAAAAUAAAUGAUAAAAUUGCAACCUAUCAAUUUCCCCCACACCUAAACCAUGCUUGUCCUCAAGCAUAAGAAAAGUAAACAAGCACCAAUAUUUGAUAGUGGCUAUUGCUCUAUCCAACAAAUUGCCAAGAUACCAAGAAGAAAAAUAAUAAUCAAGCAUCAAUGGUCAAGUCCAAGAAACAUCACCUCGGUUAGCUUCUAAACCACAAACUCCUCUAAUUUCAUGUUAACUAAUCUAAGAAAAAGGAAUAACGCAUAACAUUUAUCAGCAAAUGGUCCAACUAUUAACCAAAAUCUCAACAUUAAAUCCAUAAUUCGGCAAGCUGAUUUUUAUUACACACUAACACAACCUUCACUUUUUUUUCACAUUUUUUUCUACUUUUCUCUUUUUUUUUUUUUGAAUAGUAACAAAAGGCUUAGUCGCUAGCCAUUAGAGUCUUUUGACGCGAACUCCAACAUUGGCCAGAUGAAGGAGCCCGGUUACUCAGCUUCUAUCGCCACGUGACCACGUACUCAUAGGAAUUACUACCUUUUGACGCGAGAAUCAACACUUUUAGGUGCAGAUCCCCGGUUACUCAGUAGUAACUAAUAGCGGAGUACAGUCAAGUUUAUUCAUAGCUAAAAAUCACGAAAACUCAAUAUAACACAAGAACCAAAAGAAAACUUGCAUCAGCUAGCCUCAUUUUCAAACAUGGAGAACUAAAGUUAAUAACCGGACCAAUUCACUAAAAAUGCCAAUAAUCAUUCCCUAUGCCUAUGAAAGUUAACCAAAAAUUAUAAGAGUAAAACAAUUAUUGAUAUUCACCAAAGAGAUGUUCUUGCAUUCAACCACAUUAACUUGAUACCCUUUUAUUAUUAAAAUUGGCAAUAGUAGAAACAGAGACAAUAAUCCAACAUCAAACCUUGGCAUGCACUUACGAGCCAAUCACUAAAAAGAAGAAAAAAAAAAUGAACAUGAGGUGGACAAAUAACAAACUAAAAAUUAAGAACUAGUAUAGCUGUCCCCCCCACACCUAGAUCCUACAUUGUCCUCAAUGGAGGGAUUAAAACAAUUAAAACGAAGAGAGCAACGAAACUUCCCUCACGAGUGGCGAAAGGGUAGGCGGGAAUGGUGCACGGAAACUGAUGUGAUAGAAGUACGCGGCCAAGGUCUGAGAUAUCUCAACUCAAUUCAACCAGCAAAUGCAAAACUCUGUCCACCCAAAAUCUCAACAAAGCCUCCAAGUAGACAGUUAAUUUCUCAACUCAAAAGCAGCAAUUCCAGUAAUAGCAGUAUAGAAGUUGGAGAAUAACCACACAAUCACAAUCAGGUAGCCAACUAAUUGAAAAUAAUAAAUGCUAAUCAAAAUACUCCCAACCAGUACCACUGGUGCAAAACAUAGUCCAAAAUCAAUGAAAUUGCUAUAGCAGAGUAGAGCAGUAGUAAAGCAAUAGCCCCAAGUGUUAAUCUAAUCACAAGAAAGAUUCUAAACCUCUAAAGAAGAGCAACAGGCGACUGGAAUUCCAAUGAAUAGAGCAAGUAGAGGAACCGUCAGUGGGAACCCAGUCCACCGAAGUCAAUAAACAAACCCAGGAAACAAAUAAGUCCUCAAAUGAGUCAACAAAUUUCACAAAUGAUCAGACCAAAAUCACAGACACUGUUCCUCCAAAUCAGCAAUAUAAACCAACAUCCAGAAUGUCCUCAAAAACUCGAUUAAAAACUACUAAUGCCAACAAGGAAUGCAGUUGCCGAAUUAAAUCAACCAAAACUUCAACAAGCACAACACUGGCCGAGAUUCUUCCCAAAAUAUCACAGACAAUUGUUAAAAUUCCAGCCCACCCAAGAACUUCAACAAUUGCACCCAAAAGCUCAACAAUUGCCCCUAGCAGUCAACAAGUCAACAAGUCAGGCAACAGUAGCGCAGUGAUUCGGCAAUAACGACUCAAUAUAUACCCUCAACUGGCAAUCAGGCAUCUACCCACAAAAGCAAGUGAAAUUAUCUCAACGACCUAAUGGUUCACCACACAGAAUUCACUUCCACCCAACGAAAUAGUUGAAGUCACUAAGAUGAACACGUUAGUUAACCGUCACAGAAAAUUCUAACAAGCAAACCAGCUCCUAACAGGGCAAAUUAAGCAGCACAAGCUCCUGAUUCAAUAGGCAAUAUUAGAAAUAACUCAACCAGAAUCCCAAAAGAAACCUCAACGAACCUAGUAGUUGAAAGCAAUGGUCAGAAUAUUUCCCAGCAAUUUAAUUAGAUGCACUGAACUGGAAUAAGCAAUGUAAAUGGUAUAGUAGCCUCCCAAUUAAACAAACAAGUGCAGUAUCUCAGCUCACCCAAAAUCCCAACAAAUGGCUCCAGUUGGCCAAUUAAUUGCACCAUUUCACUCAAUUCAAAAGGAGCAAUAAAUUCAAGUGAGAAUAUUCCAACCAAUGCCCCCCCUUCUUUUUUUCUUUUUGAUGAAAGACUGAAUGCACACCUCAAUCAACCGAAAUCGUAGUGAAAGUUUCAAAAGUCAACAAAUCAAGCAAUAACAAUCCAGAUUGGACAGUGACAAAGGACUCCAAGCUUUCAGCUCCCAAUUAAUCAGCCAAUAAGAGAGGAAGAAUUCAACAGCUAAAUGAUGUCCAACAAUGGCAAACGAGGAAGCACCACGCAAUAUUAGAAAGUGGAGAAUAAAGGCCAAAUACCUCCGCCAGAGAGAGAGACACACACAAGCGGCCUGCGGUGGGGUUCGAAGACAGGUGGGCAGCGACGCACGGAGCUUGGGCUCCGCGAGCUGAUGGUGGCGGCGGCAGGUCACGCGGCGGCUGGUGGUCGGCGUACAGGAGCGGGGAGAGCAACGAGGGAGGCGCGCUCCUCGCUGGUUGAAGCGGCAGUGGCGAAACGAAUGGCGGACGCGGACUGGUUUUCUGGCAGGUGGCGAUGGCGAGAGGCGCGCAGAGCAGCAGCGGCGCGCGACUCCAGCAACGAUGGCGGCGGCUUGGGCUGGUCGAGCGUGCGGCGGUAGUGGUGGUAAAUGGAUUCGGCUGAGGCGUGCGCAGAGAGCAGGGGAGCAGCAGGGGAGAAAGAAAGAAAAGAGAAAGAAAGAAAGAAAAGAAAGAAAAGAAGAAAAAAAGAAAAAGAGAGAAAUUGCAUUUUUAUUUUUUAUUUUAUUUUUUUUUGAGUUCGACUUUUUAAAAAAAAGUUUUUCUCUUUUUUUUCUUGUUGUUUUUUUUUUCUUUUUGACAAUUGAAAAUUGGAAACUAAAGCUACGGUGAUAAGAAAUGGUUACUUCAUUUUUUUUUAUUUUCUUUUCUUUUAUUUUUAUUUUUUCCUUUUUUUUUUUUUUUGAAUCCCUACCUUUCCCGCGAACGUGACGCGGGCACGUCAAGAGAGCAGGAGAGCUCCCAGAAGUUUCAGAAUUUUCUGAUCGUGAGCGUCCUGCACAUCACCACGCAGGCACGUCAUGAGGACAAGAGAGCUCCCAGAAGUUUCAGAAUUUUCUGAUCGUGAGCUUCCUGAACAUCACCACGCGGGCGCGUCAUGAGGGCAAGAGAGCUCCCAGAAGUUUCAGAAUUUUCUGAUCGUAAGCUUCCUGCACAUCACCACGCGGGCGCGUCAUGACUGAAGGGCACCUAUAAAUCAGCAAAAACGAAAACUGAAACCCAAAAUCAGUCGAAUUCAAGGAAAAACAUAUUUAAACUAACAAAUAAAAUCAAACAUAAACUAAAAGAAAUUGGGUUGCCUCCCAAUGAGCGCCUUUCUUUAAUGUCUUUGGCUAGACAUUAUCAUGUUUUAUUCAUGGAGGAUAAAAUCGUGUGGUUCGUCUUAAUGAUUCAUCCUCUAUAUAGUCCUGAUAACCCUCAUAAAUAAAAUAAUCCUUGAGCAUACGAGCUACGGGCUUCCAUGGACUAGUAAAUGGCGCCAAACAAGUCAACGAUAAGUUGAAUUCUCCGUUCACUCCUCCCUCGCUUGCAGUUAUUGGUUCAAGAUAUCUUGCCUUCGCCACUCUUAAUUUAUUCCUGUCAUGAAAUUCAAAAUUAUCUGGUAUAAUACAGUCAAUUUCAUUAACAGGAAUUGAGAAGUAAGAGUCAGGAGAAUAUUGAUGAAGGAGUGGAGGAGAUGUCACCGCAUUUGGAGAUUGUUCACUGGAUUCUUUCACGUGAAUGGGUUGCGAUUGGGGUUCCAUUUCUUCCUUUUCGGCUUCUUUUUCAACUGCAUCUGUAGAUUUUUCAUUUUGACACUCUUGCGUCUCCUCAUCACUAGUCAAGCAAGUUGCACUCUCAUUUUCUUCUAGAUCAACAAUGGUUUUCAAGGGCAAUUCUUCCAUUUGAGAAGCCCAUCGAUUUAUUCUGGAUGUCAAUUGACAUAGUUGAUCUGCCAGAUAACUCAUUGCAUCCUUCGUCAUCUCAUCCCUCAUUUGUGUCUCCUGUUGGAAUUGGUAUGUGUUAGUAGUUAUUGGUUCAACUAUUUCUUCAAAAUACAUACCUGACAGAGAUGACGAUUCUUGAGACUCAUACUGCUGAAAAUUCAUUGGCUCCGUUGCAUAAUUAUAAUUGGAGUCAUCCCACCAUCCUUGAUCAUACCCGUUUGGAUUAGGGUCAUACCACGUUUGAGACCAGGGUGAAAAAUCUCCGUAAUUAUUGAAUGGGACACUCAGAUUAUCUUGAUAUUCGGGGCACAUACCUGUUGAAUAAUCCCUGGCAUAACAAAUUUUACAGGUUGCAGCAGCCAUUCUUUUUCUAAUAGAGUUUACUGCCUCUGCAUAUGCAAACUCAGGAAAAAAACAAAUCUCAUCGCCUUGCCCAGAAAUAAAAUCCAAUACACCACCAAAAUACGGAGUGUUAGAAGCCAUAAACUAUAUCAAAAAAAAAUAAGAGAAAUAAAAUAAAUAAAAAAAUGAAAACAAAAUGAACUCAAAAAGAAACAAAUUAAUCUGACACCAGUUCCCGGCAACGGUGCCAAAAAUUGACAGGUUGUCGAAGCCUGUGCAAUAAUAAAACCUGCUCAAACUAAAAUUAAUUUCUGUAAAUAGUGGUAAGCAGGGUCGAAUCCACAGGGACUGGGAGUAAUUGUUUCUUUUCAAGUUCACAGUGACAAGGGGGUGUUUUUGUGCAGAAGGUGACAAUCCAAGAAGUCCAACUAAAAUCUAAAAAACUACUAAAAACUAAAUAAAAAAAUUACUAAAAUCAAAUGAAUGAUAAUUAAGGAUCUAGCCAAGAAAUAACUUCAGUAAUGGUGCACCUAAUUGAUCAUCGAUAAGCAAAGGCAAUUCCAAUUAUUUACUAAUAAAUAGGUUAUAACUGCCAAACAAGCGAUGACAGUCAACCCCUCCUUACUGUGUCGAUGAUUAAGGUACGCCCGUUAAUCACUGCUCUAAUUGAGAAAUAAUCCUAGGUACGCCCAUAGAAUUUAAUUCCCCAAUUGCCUUACGUAUUAGAGGAGCCCUAUUCUAAUCAAAUAACACACUACCAGGGUUAUUUUAGAUUAGCCCGCGUAUUCCCCUGACACAAACCUAAUCAUGCCAGUUGCCACUAUUUUAGAGCAAUUAAACAAUUACGGAUUUAAUGCCCUAAUUGACAAUAGAUUAUCCAAUCAACUAAUUAUCUGGAUCCAAGACAAUCAAUUAAUUAAAUAACCAUAAGCAUAGCAACCAAGAAAUAUGCAAAUACCAAUAAAUAAAAGAAACAGAUAAAAUUAAAUCGAUCUCACAAUUUUAGACGACCCAAAGCAUCCGUUGUUCCUUGACUAGAGUGAGGAAAUUAGUUCAUAAUUGAUGAACAAAAUCCACACAAAAUUAAAACAAGAGUCGCGGCCAUCGUCUCCGAGAGUUAAGAAAAUUCAAUUCGUCCCAAUCGAUAAGAAAAGCAAACUACCAGAAGUGAUAGCUAAUUCCUAAUUCUCCCUGACAUGCGCAGGGUGCAAAGCUACUAAAGGACAAAAAAUACUGAAAAGAAAAGUCAAAGAGGAACAAAAAAGAUAGUGCUUGUUCUCUGCAAACUCUAUAUUUCCUAAGUGCUUAUUCCUACUGUGCGGCGUCCGCCGCACGAGAGGAAGCCGAAGACCUUCAGGUUUGCUUUCUUUUCCCCUUUUUCUAGUUGCUGUCUUCGGUCAAAAUUACCAAUAAGGUCUUGCAUUUUCUUGUUCCAAGAAUGCCCCUUGAUUGCCUGCUAUUUGAACUCUUUCCCGAUGACUAUCAAAUUGGCCUUGAUUGUGACAUUUUUAUUCUACUCCCGGAAAUAAAUGUAAAUUACAAAAAAUGAGUAGAAUCUAAUAAUUAAUUCACAUUGAUUUAAGUAAUAGGAGAAAUUAAUUAUAAAAUAAAUGAUAAAAUUGCAACCUAUCAAUUUACAAUGCUAACAUCCAGCAACUAGUUGAUGUUCCAGGACAUGAGUAUUUCGCCUACUUGGGGCAGAAAACUCAAAUGGAGGCUGCAAAUCAGGCAAAGAUUGAUGUUGCUGAAGCGAAGAUGAAAGGUGAAAUAGGAGCCAAGGAAAGGCAAGGACUGACGCUUCAAAAUGCUGCCAAAAUUGAUGCCGAGACAAAGAUAAUAUCUACGCAAAGGGAAGGUGAGGGGAGAAAGCAGGAGAUCAUGGUGAAGUCCCAAUUGAAGAUCUAUGAGAAUCAGAAGGAGGCUGAUGUUGCUGAGGCAAAUGCUCAGCUAGCAACCAAGAAGGCUGCGGCCUGCGUGGGCUCGUCAGGCAAAGUUGGCUGAGGUAGAGGCUGAAAAGAGUGUAGCCAUACGGGAGGCAGAGUUGCAGAAGGAAGUUGAGAGGAAGAAUGCAUUGGCCAAGACUGAGCAGCUUAAGGCCCAAUAUCUCAGCAAAGCGAGCGUGGACUAUGAUAUUAAGGUACUUCAAUUACUAUAGUUUCAUUCCCUGCAAUGACAUUCAUUCAAUCAUUAAGUCUAAACUUUUACUCGUUCCGUGCUGUUAAAUUUGGAAAUAAGUUAACAGGACAAGUCUUUGAGUACUUUCCAAAUCUUCUUCUAUUCUAAAGCGAAAUAACUGCAGCCCAUCAGUCGGAUUUCUGUCUUGCUUUUAACUCAAAACAGAUUCAAAAUGAAUUUCUCUUUUUGCUCAUAUGAAUGAAAAACUCUCCAUCCCUUGAACCUCAUUUAUUUCCUUACUCCCUUGAUAACGUCAAUCAUGAUUGCAAUCUUAUUCUUUGUCUCUAUCUCAUAAUGAUUGAUCCCAUGGAAUUUAGGUAAUUAAGGUACACAUUUUGCAAGCAUUACUGCAACAAUUAUCGUUUUGUACAUGUCCUUACCACCAGAUGAUCAUAUUUCAAAGUAAAUGGAGUCGAUUCCACUUUUUGAACCAUGUGAUGCUUUCAGAUCAUCUGAAGCUUUCCAGAUUUAACACUCCUAAUUUUUUUUGCAUAUGUCGUGUUGAUGUCUCUAUGUGGAUCAUUGAUUGCCAUUACCUAUAAAAAAAAUAUAGGUUCAAGAGGCAAAUUCAGAUCUCUACAUGAAACAAAAGGCAGCUGAAGCAGUCCUCUAUGAGAAAGAAAGAGCUGCUGAGGCUCAAAGAGUAGCAGCAGAAGCUCAACUUUAUGCAAGGCAACAAGCUGCAGAAGCUGAACUUUAUGCAAAAAGAAAAGAAGCUGAAGCAAUGGUGGCACAGGCAGAAGCACAAGGGGCUUAUAUCCGAACCCUGUUGACAUCACUUGGUGGAAACUACAAUGCUUUGAGAGAUUAUUUGAUGAUUGAUGGUGGUAUGUUCAAGGACAUUGCCAAAAUCAAUGCCGAAGCAAUCCGUGGACUGCAACCAAAGAUCAGCGUCUGGUCAAAUGGUGGAGAAGCCAUAGAUGGAGCAGGAACAGGAAAUGCAGCCAUGAAAGAGAUAGCAUCAGUUUACCGGGCAUUGCCACCCUUGCUUCAGACCGUGCAUGAACAAACUGGCAUGUCGCCUCCAGCUUGGAUUGGCAGUCUCCCCAGUUCUAGUGCCAGCCAGCCAGCAAACUAGUAAUAAAAACCAUAUCUAGUAUUAAGACUUCACCUACUAGUCUACUACAUUGCACUAGUCUAAGCUUGGUUUAUAUUUUCAGUAGACAUACUCUUAGCUCUUUUCUUUUUCUCCUAAGGUAGACUGCUCUUUGAUCUUGGCUUUUAUAAUAGCUUUUGUUUGUUGACAGUUAUGAUUAUAUCUUACUGCGUUACCUUUUGCUUGUUUUCAAAUCGCUCAUCCCUGUUCCCUAUUCAUGCAUGUUUGUCCAAGCAUAUUUACAAUUCUUCUGGAUAACCAUGAGUCCAUGAUUAUAUUGCUGAAUCUUUGUUCUCGUUUAGAUUAAAAGAAGUUAAAAUGAUUACAUUCUGUUUGAGGCUUUCAAUAGUCUAUGCAAAAAGUAUCUGGAACAUUAUUUCGUGAGGAUAUUAGAUCAAAGAGCAAGGAGGUAAAACCUCAGGUAUGGAGGCUGCAAAUUCAGCUGGUAAUAAUCAUUAGUUGAUGACUAAUUAUAUAUUCGAUGCUUGAUUUACAGGGAAACUAUAGAUUUCAGUUGUUUUCAAUGUCAUAUUGUGAAUGAGCGUUGUCAAAUUUGUUCUCCAUGGGAAUUUGGAUAAAAUUUUCAAGCUCUGUGAUUUGCAAGUUUUCGAAGACAGCCCAUUUGAACUACACAGGAACUAGAGUGGUGCAGUGCAACAAUGCUGGAGGAUGCUUUUGCAUGACAGGAUUUUUAGCUUACUGCUGUUGUUCCAUGAUGUCCGUUUUCCUCUUUAGUAGUUCUUGAAAAAGGUUUACAUCUCAAGUGAGCUUCAAUUUGGGAAAAUAAAAAGAAAGAAAAAUGAUUUUUCACAUAAUUCUCUUUAUGGUUUCAAAACUUACACAUGACAUGUCAAAGUAACUGAAAUGGUCCUCUACAAUAGAACCAAUUAAAAUGUCAAGAUUAUCCGUAUUUAGAAACUAAAAUGACUGAAAUUGCUAAGAUAUAAACACUUAAUAUGUGUGACAUUUUAGCCCCUUAUCGUUUUAGUAGUUUACCACAUAACUCCCUUAUGAUUUUCAAAAUCUAUGCAUAACUUCCAUGUGGUUAAUAAAUAAAUUUUAUCUUAAUAUAGGGGUAAUUUUGAUAUUUUAAUCGACUCCGUUAUGGAAUACAAAUUCUACUAUUUAAUACUUUAGUCUAAACUACGAUGAGAUUGAGUAUAAUUUUGAAACCAUUGAAAGGGUACAUAGAAAAAUACUAAACCACAAGGAAGUAAAUUGUAAUUUAUCCAAGAAAACAUGGUUGGUCUAUUGUAACGGGUUCGUGGUUAGCAUCACGGCAGUUGUUUAUUUGUUUUUUUUUUAAAUUACUUUUUUGUUUUUGGUAUAAGUAAGAGGAAUCGAGCCGUAAUCUUUCACUCAUGCUUUCUCCCAUCCAAUUAUCCAAUCCAUUCCUCCCGGGCUACCAUCAUGGCAUGCAACAUUAUGUAACACAAAGAAAAAGAGAUUAAAAAAAAAUGUUAAACAGAGGUGAUGUGAAUUUGAUAUUAACUCGUAAACUUAGAAAAAGCAUUGCUUAGGGUCCAUGUUUUAGAUAUAAUUCUGAUCUUUUUAACUUUUUGAAACACCCAUCUUUUCUACUGAUAUUUGUAAAACUCACAGCAGUUUUUAGAUAGUUUUUUCUACGUCUCUCAUUAUUUAUGCAUGGCAGGCGCAAUUAUUUGAAUAAUUAGCUUCUUAAGAAUAGCUAGUUAGAAUUAUCAUUAUUAUUAUUAUUAUUACUACUACUUGGCCACGUAAUUUAGACUUCAGAAACUCCUUGUAAAGUUUUUUUUUUUUUUUGACAAGUCCACUCUUUGUUUGAAAAGCUAUUUUUUAUAAAAUAAUUUUAUAUUUUUAUGAAUAUAUUUUUCAAUCACCUUUUUAUUUCACAUACAUCAAAUCAUUACAGUAAAUUUUUUUUUUUUUAACAAAAAUUUUGGAAACUAGCAAUCCAAAUGAGAUCUUACUUUUCGACCACACAAUGAUAAUUUUUAUGUUAUACACUUGAAUUGGAUGUUACGUGUUGAUCAUUCGUAUCCUUCAUUUGACUGCAUAUCAUACUUGUUUCGUAACACCACGAACGAGUAUGGACAAAAUUUUCUGACUUGCUGACUAUUGCUUUUUAAUUCAAAUAUCGUACUCAGUAUUGUCUGUUGAUACCAUUGCAUGUCCUAUUGUCAAACAACUCUAUCAUUAGCUAUACAUGCAGAAAUUACAUCACAUAUGUAAUUUAUUUAUAAAAUUCGUAUUGGUUCUACGUCCCUACUCUCUAGUGGUAAAGCUGCAGUAACAAUUUCAAAUGCUACCUAAAACUUUUGGUCCUAAAAUAUGCAAAGUAAACAAAUAUUACUAAUAUAUCAGACAGCCUCUUUCUCCUUGGAACAUUGGCAGCGGACAGUGAUAAAGUUAAACAUUGGAGGCAGCUUACUUAAAUCCAAUUUAAUUAAUAACUUAAUGAGGUGAUUAGUCUGAAUUUUUCAUACCAACUUUGAAAGAGACUAGUUGGUGUUCGGACUGUUAAAAGAACAGCACUAGAUUAGAUUUCUGAGUGUUAGAUUAUAAAAGGGUAAAUUUCUUGUUAUCUUCUGUGAUUUUACAUAACACUAGAUGACCCCUCUAAGAUUUUGAAAUAGUCACAUAAUUUCUUUGUGGUUUUAUAUAAAGUGAAAAAUGGAUAGAAUACACAAUCAGUUUUCGAUUUAUACCAAAUCCACGUAACCCCCUUAUAUUUUGUAUAAAUAUCAACUUUACUGAUGCCCUGUAAUUUUUGCAUUUAUCCACUUAAUCUCCUUAUACUUUUAUACAAGGUGGUUAAACCGUCGAUUGAUUUAGUAUUUACGAAAGGGCACUAUUGAUAUUUCAACCAACAACAUUUCAUAGGUUAUUUUUCGUCAAAUUUUCACUUUACAUAAAAUCAUAGGGAAGUGAAGUAGAUAUUUUGAAACGUUUGGGGGUCACGUGACAAUAGAUAAAAUCAGAUGACUAUUAGAAAUGACGAUUGAAGUGCUGAUUGCUUAUGGUUGUCCAAACAAAUGCAGAAUUUCAGAAGUUAUAUAAGUAAUAUGAUCAUGAUUUUAUGACACAGUGGGAUGGUGGGAGUAGUGAUAAAAAAAAAAAAAAGAAUGAUGAAAUGAAGUUUGCAGAUUUAUUUAAGGAUACCUCAGGGUUUUCAUUAAGUAUGAUAAAGAUAGAACUUUUAAAUUCAAUACAAGGUACAAAAUUAACUUUAUUUGAUUUUAGCCUAUACUUUACAACCUUACACAAUUAAAAGUCAAAAAAUUUGUGCGUGAAAAGAGAUUUGACAUGCAAGGAAAAAUCAUGAAAACAAAAGACAAGCUUGCAGGCAAACGAAAAUAAAAAGAAAUGAAACAUCAGAUCACAAAGUCUCAAAUUUAAAGAUCUAAAUAUUCGAGACUUGAUUAAAAGGUGUCCAACGAGUAUUACUUGGUAUAACUAAUCUAUGGCUAACUUAUCAUUUUAAUAUACUAUUUAUUUAUGUUUAGUUUUCCUUACAUUUAGAUAAUUACUAGAUUUAAUUUCAUAUUUUCCAAAUUUUAAUAUUUAAAACCUAACUUAAUGAAUAUUCAUUGAACACCCAGUUAAGCAAAUACAUUAAUAAUUACUGAAUUAAAUGGGAUUCCUCUCAAUAGUUUCAUGCUCCCCACAAAAUUAUGUUCUUGAUUGAAUUGUGUGUUUUCAUAGAAAAAUACUUUGGGUGUAUUUUUUAUUCACUUUUUUACUUCACACGUGUCACAUCGUUAUAAUAUAUUUUUCUAUAAAAACUUUAAAGAUUUACAAUCUAAACAAGGCCUAAGGUUGCCACGUGAAAACAUGAAAUGAUCUAACACCUUUUUGCAGUAAAAUAAAUCAUAGAGAUUUUUUGAAAGGCUAAUUACCAUGUAAUACAAAACUUGUAUGUCACCUUUACAUGGAACCAGACCAAAUACAUAGACAGCUCUUCUCUAUUGUCAUCUAUCAACAUUGUCUGGUUACAGAGCCAACACUAAUCCAUUCCCUCCUAUACCCCCCAAAAAAUGGGGAAUGGAAUUAGAAGUCCCAUCUCAUUUCUCAUCCUUCUUGCUUUACUAUUCCCCUUGACCCUUCAAAUCUCAGCCGUUAAUUACCCGAUCAACGUCUGGCCUAAACCGACAACCUUCUCAUGGCCCAAACCUCAAAUAGCCUUACUUUCUCCGAAGUUCGAAAUCCAUUUCCCUUCACACCCAUACCUCCAUCGCGCUGCCAAACGCUACCGUCAACUACUCAUUCAAGAACAAUACCACCCACUGGUAGCCCCGCCUCUCAAUCUGCCGGAGUCACCCGCACUCCAAUCGCUGAUCAUCACCGUGACUGACAAAUCCGCGCAGCUAACUCACGGCGUUGACGAGUCCUACACCCUCGUUAUUCCCUCACCAUCUCAAAGUACUGAGGCCGCCAUAUCGGCCCAAACAACAUGGGGAGCUAUGCGCGGGCUGGAAACACUUUCUCAGCUGGUGUAUGGAAAGCCAUCAAGAGUGGCUUGUGAUUUGUAUAUCUAUGAUGAACCCUUGUUUCCUCAUAGAGGAGUGAUGUUGGAUACCUCAAGAAACUUUUACUGGGUGGCUGAUUUGUUGAGGUUGAUCAAGGCCAUGAGUAUGAAUAAGCUGAAUGUUUUGCAUUGGCAUAUAACGGACUCGCAGUCGUUUCCCUUGGUGUUGCCUUCGGAGCCGGAGCUGGCCGAGAAAGGAGCCUAUGGGGAGGUGAUGAAGUACUCGCCGGAAGAUGUCAAAAAGGUGGUGGAAUUUGGUAUGGAAUAUGGGGUCAGAAUUGUUCCUGAGAUUGACAUGCCCGGUGAGUUGUCUACUUACAUACGUUUCUUUCCGAAUUAUGAUUUCAUUGUCCAAAUUAUUUGGUUGGUCCUCAAACUAUUUGGUCACUACGCUUUUAAUGCUCCAACUAUUAUUUGUAUAUUUUUAGCUCUCCAAACUCCUAAAAGCGUCCGUUCGAAUUGACCAUUUUUUUUAAAAUAAGUUUUUCAAAUAUAAUAUUAUAAUAAUAUAUAAUAAUUUAAAAAAUAUUUUAUCCAUACAAUAUUUAAAAAAUUUUUAUUGUAAAAAUUUUUCAUAUAUAUUAUUAUAGUAAAAUUGUUUAAAAAUACUCCUAAAAACAACUAAUUCAAACGAAGCAGGUUCUGACCUUAUGUCCAUUCAAGCUUUUAAAACCAACGGAAACUACACCGUGCACAAUAUACAAGCAAAAAUCUACUCAUAACUAGCAAGUUUCAUAGAAAUCUAAGUCCAGAUUUGGAAUCUACAUGAAAAGCAAAGUCUAAAAAUGUAAUUUAAUUUAAAUUUGAUAGCACUACAAUAAUGAUCAAUUACUGGUCAACAACAAUCAAUGGCCGUUUUAAUGUAUUUGGAGGAUUGAAGAUGGUGAAAAUUAUGUCACUUUGAGGAAGAUUUUAUCGGGAAUAAUGAUUGAAAUUGAUUGAUGGGCUAGAAAUAUAUGUUUUUAGACGUAAGAGGGCUAAAAAUAUACAAAUAAUAGUUAAAGGGCUGAAAGUGUACAAGAUCAAUAAUUUGAGGGCUAAAGGGACUUUUUGCCCUUUCAAAAUUGAAUAGAUGCUAUCUAAAUUGAAUAUACAAGUCGGAUGGAGUUGAGUAAAGUUGACUAUAAUUGCAUAUUAAUCUUUACUACACACUAGCAUAUACAUUAACAAAUAUAGAUACAUGUCACUUGAUAUCAAUUAGAGGUUGGAUUUUAGAUUUGCAUACUUCUACACCCGCUAAUAUAUAUAUCAUAAUUGCACUGUUGCACUUAAUUAUAAAUUUGGUUUGCUAUAUUGAUUACUUCCAUAAUUCUUUAACUCUUUUGAUCCAACGGUGGUACUAAGUUUCUUCUAGUUAGGUUCAUGGGUAUGGUGAGGUUGUUUGUUUUACACUGGCGUGGAUUGAAAGAAUGAAUAAGAAAGAGUGCUUGAUAUGUAUGUAAUAACCUAGAAUCUAUUAGGUUAAAAUUGGCUUUUGACUUAUAUAUUAGGCAUCUUUCAGUUACUCUCCUCCUGUCCUUCCUCUGCUAUUGUCUCCCUUAGGAUAGAAAUACCAUUUGUCACCAAUUGUAAAAUAUUUAAUAAAUUUACAAGAACCAAAGUCAAAACAACGUUCAAAUUGCAUUCUAUAUUUUCGGGCUAUAAAUCGGGCAUGAAUUUGAAGAAAAGCUUUAUAGCAACUCUCUACUCCCGUAUUAAAAGUUUUUUGCAGAUGCAUAUGGUUACUGAUAUAUUUUUAAGGGACAUUGGAUGCAACUUAGUUUUUAGGUUGUUAACUUGAUCAACUCCUUUGGCGAGAGUACCAUGCAAUGAAACCAGGGCAUGCUAGACUUACAUUUCGUUAGGUUCCUGAAUUAAGUUUCUUGAAGCCAAUCUCAAUAUGGUCGUUUCGAGAUUCAUUAUGCAGCAAAGACACUUGUCUUCCAUACAUGACUGCAGAUUAUGUAAUUUGCAGGACACACUGCCUCAUGGGCAGAAGCUCACCCUGACAUUGUAGCUUGUACAAACAUGUUCUGGUGGCCUGCUGGAGCAGAUUUGUCGAGCCGAAUAGCCCAUGAACCCGCAACCGGUCAACUGAAUCCCUUGGCCUCCAAUACCUACAAAGUAGUCCAAAAUAUCAUCAAAGAUGUAGCCACUAUGUUUCCAGAUUCAUUUUUUCAUGGAGGAGCUGAUGAGGUCACCACAAAUUGCUGGAAAUCUGACAAAUCCAUCCAAGCUUUCCUUGCCAAGAAUGGGACUCUGAGCCAGCUUCUAGAAAUGUUUAUUACUUCUACCUUGCCUUACGUCAUCUCCCAAAAUCGUACAGUCGUCUACUGGGAGGAUGUUCUAUUGGAUGCCAAUGUCAGCGUGGCUGCUUCACUACUUCCCCAGGAGAAUGUCAUUUUACAGACAUGGAACAAUGGGCCGAACAACACGAAAAAGCUUGCUCAAGCUGGUUAUCGAGUUAUCGUAUCAUCAGCCGAGUUUUACUACUUGGAUUGUGGGCACGGAGGGUGGGUUGGAAAUGACAGCCGGUAUAACCAGCCACCGGGUACUGAUCUUGGUAAGGGAGGUUCCUGGUGUGGGCCAUUUAAAACAUGGCAAACCAUCUAUAACUAUGAUAUCACGUAUGGACUAAAUGAGGAUGAGGCUAAGUUGGUCAUAGGAGGAGAAGUAGCAUUAUGGUCAGAACAAGCAGACCCAACAGUUAUGGACCCUAGAAUUUGGCCUAGAGCUUCAGCAAUGGCGGAAACAUUGUGGUCUGGGAACAGGGAUGAAACAGGAAUGAAGAGGUAUGCAGAAGCCACAGAUAGAUUGAAUGAAUGGAGGAACAGAAUGGUGACCAGAGGGAUUGGUGCUGAACCCAUUCAGCCUCUUUGGUGCAUUAGAAAUCCGGGCAUGUGCAACACAGUUCAGCCAUAUGUACCUAAUUGAAUAUUCUGUGUCCAAUAUUCAUUCUGGUUAUCCCCUGUUUCGUAUUACUCUGAGGCAGCUUUGCUAUAUGUUACUUUUGUAUUGCUUAUAUAUAUGCAGGUUUCUUGUUAUUUCAUAUUAAAAACAUUUGAACUUUUAAUAAAUAAGUUGGAUUUCUUUUGGUUGGGGGGGGGGGGGGGCUUUAAUGGUUUCAAAACAAUCACUCAAACUUAUUGAUAUGGAGAGAUGUAUUAUACAAGAUAACUAUUGUUUGGUAUGAAUUUCAGGUGCUAGUAAUUGCUCCUCAAGUGUUUUAUGCAUUGUAAAUCAGAUAUUUCCUUGCAUGUCUAUCUUGGAAAAUUAGUGAACUUUAUACGGCCCAUACCGAGACUCAUGGUUUAAAGUCUCGGCCGAGUCGUCUCGAGGCCGUCACUGGAACGGACCCCUCCGAUACGAUACCGAGACGAAAUGAUUCUAAGAUACUUGACUCGUGGAGAUUUCGGCUGAGUCAUCGAGAACUCGGCUGAGAAAUCUCAAAUACGGAUAGUCUUGGCCGAGUCGACCCGAGUCAUCCCAAUUCAACUGACAAAUUUAUAUUUUACAGAUUUUCUUUUGCUAAUUUUUUUUAGCAUAUGUUAAUAUUAUUCACAAUUUUUAGAAAUAUUAAAUCCUUCAAAAUUUGCAUAUCGUCAAAACCAUGACCGAUAUGCUGAAAUCGAUGUGAAAUAGUUUGGCCGCGACCACGACCGGGACCGCGACUUUGAACCAUGCCGAGACAGAUGAUGUUUACGUCCCUUUUGAUGAUAUCCAUUUAAGGCUGGGUCUCGUUGCAAUGAACUGAUUCAUAAAAUAAGCCCAGACAUACAGGCAAAAGAACUGAUUGGUGCAAGCAUUUCUGACUUGGAAAUCUGUUUGCUUAGACUCGUUGAUCAAACUUCAGCAUUAGACCCAAUUUUAAUUAAACGAUUGAAAUACUUUCUUUUUAUGCAUAACCUGCUUAUAAGACUAGUGAGAAAACUAAUGCCAAGAUUCCCAGUCACAGAGAUUAAAAGAAAAUAUGUAGACAUAAUGAGCCACUGAAGCAUAAAGUAAACUGGGGAAACCACUUACAACCCAAAAGCAUUUCAUAAUACGAAUUUAAUUUAGCUUUAAUCAGUGUAAGCGAUCUCUUGACAGAAUGUAAUUAGAAUUGCGGAAGCAAGGCUGAAAUUUUCCCCGAAACAUUUAGGUCUUGAAGUCGAAGAACCACUUUGCAAAGCAUAAUUUGCUAGGAAUAAAGUUUUCUUGCAAAUUUCCUGAUAGUAUAAAGCCUGUAAGUAGCUAUUUCUGGCAUACAGUUCCCAUGCCAUUACUGAAUGAUUAAACUAUACCAGAUUAUGAUAUGUAGUUGAGACAUCAGUGUCUGGGGGCUGGCCAAUAGUCGAUAUCUGAACUGGCUCCAAAUGGCAUCAUUGCAUAGAACCUUACCUUCCUAAUUACUUCUGCCAACUAGUCUUUGCCCAUGUGUUUAGGUUUUGUUUAAAUCUGAGCAGGACUGUUAGAUGUUUAAUGGUGAAAACCUUUCUUAAGGGACUUGAAUCCGAGUAACAGAAAAGAGUCUUUGGCACAUUCUGGUGCUUCUUGGAUGUGGCACAAACCCCUAUCUUUUGCUGGAUAAAUUAAGGUGAAGUAAGCAAGAGGGUAACCUCAAAGUUGGAGUGAUAUCCUAGUUUUUGACUCUUGCACUAAUAUUAACAUGGCAUACAGCUGCACAAACUCACUAAGCUUAUGCAUACCUGCUUUGCUUCAUCCAAUCCAGCGAAUUUUGACUUUUCAGCCCAUCAUUGUUGCCGGUUUCUUAUACUCAAUCACUUAAUCAUGCAUUGUCUACGAUAUAAAACUUUUACUUGUGCUAGUCAGCCUUCCAUAAAUGCAGUAUAAAAACCAGAACUAGUUGUAAACAACUCAAGUUAGUCUGAGUUUUGUGUAUUCUUGUAUUGAGAAGCAUAAUGAGGUCCUCUAGCCAAGCUAUAAUCUUCCUCAUGGCUGCCUUUUUGGUGCUGUUUCUCAUUGCACCAGCUUCAGAUGCUGCAGUUACAUGCGGCGAUGUAGCCAAGAAGAUUGCCCCUUGCGUUGACUACCUGAGGUCAGGCAGUGGGGCGCCACCUCCUCCUUGCUGUGGAGGAGUUAAAGCUCUAGCAGCUUCUGCAACAACUACACCAGAUAAACAGGCUGCUUGUGCUUGCCUUAAGACUCAAUCCAAGAAUCUGAACAUCAAACCUGAGCUAGCUCAGGCUCUUCCAGGAAAUUGCGGAGUCAGCUUGCCUUAUCCUAUCUCCCCGAAUUUCGAUUGUACCACGUAAUAACUCUUGCCUCUUGCUUAUGGGCGUAUUAUAUCAGCUUGUACUCUUGUUUCUAAUGUUUGUUGUUGUCCUUAAUUUGCAGGAUCCGCUGAUUCUGAAGCAGCUCCGCAGAGGAUAAAUGCUUCUCUUUUGUAUGAAGAAGCAAAGUACGAUGAUGCCGGUCUUAUUUACAUUACGAUGAUGUUGGUUCUCUUUCAUCUAGUCAUAUUAUGAAUUAUGCUGGACUUAUAUCCUUGCUGUCUUGUACUGUGAAAUAAAGCAUAUAUUGUGAGAAUUUGGUUUCUCAAAUCUCAAGUGCAUUACCUAAUUCCUGUAUCUCUUCUAAUUUCAGUUUUUCGUUUGUCAAUUCAUGGUAAAUUUUCGACCAAGUAGAUCACACUAAAACAAAAACGAAUCCUCAAAAACCAUAGAAGAAAUGGCGAACCUGUUCUCGCUACGAGCAGAAUGCAAACCGGCUUUUUGUGGCUCUGUUACCAUCACAUCUGCUCCAAAUCCCACAAUGAUAUGCUUAUUCAUCAUGUGAUCAUGCUUCGCAAUCGCAGGUCGUGUCGCGGCAUAUCGAUUGAAUAUCGGGUGAUACGCAUGUUAUAACACAUGAAAGUCUCCAAAAAUUUUUAAAAAAUUACUAAAAUUAGAAAAUACCAAAAAAGACACAAUUUAAAAAAAAUCUGACUAGACUCCGAGUUGACUCUGAUAUAUCGGCCGAUAGCAUACAUCACGGAUUCAAAUUAGCUAAUAUCAUCCGAGUCAAAGUAAGCCGUUGCGGAUAUGGUAAUAUUUGCGAUUCAGGGAUAUGUAUCAUACCGAUCCCCUCCGUUCCAGUUACAACUUGGCCGAUACGUAUUGGUAUCGGUUGGCCAAUAUGGCAAACCAUGCAUGUGAUGAUGUAUUGUGCAGGGCAGAAUUUUACAAUGAAAUCAAUAAAAAUGACAAAAUUUUGUCAGCUUCGCUAUUUAAAAUGGCAGUAAUAACUAGAAGCUGUGUCUGAUCUUUUGCUUACAGUGUCAAAUUGAUACAAGAAAAGACAAUCAAACCCUUCUGACUUAAAAACUCUGAUGGGCAAAGUGCUUCAACUGCUAUCAUUGAUUGAAAUCUAGUGUGAAUAUAGUAAUACAUCCACUUUCAAUUUGAUGUUUAUUACAAAACAUGAGCACUUUUGGAAUCUAAGAAUCAAUGUACAAGUGGACAAUCUUGCUUGAUUUUUUCUUAUAUAUUCAAGAAAAAAUUGUCCUGUAGCAUUAAUCAUAAUUUUAAGAGAGAUAGAAGGCUAUGAGAAUUGUCCUGGAGUAACGUGCUCUCGUGCUUAGGCCGAAUUUUGCAACGAGAUAAGCAUCAGGCACAUGACAGGCUUCCUGAUAGCUAAUCCCACAGCACCGCAUUGCCAUAGAUCACCUGCUUGCAGAAUGCAGAUCCUUAUGCAAAGAUCACAAACACGCUUCCAACUUUUCUCAAUUGCUGCCUGCCCCAACUCUAGCUCACUUACUAGAUGUUAACCAAGUUUGCUACUUUUUGACUUCCACCACAUCACAUGAGACAGAAUGAGAUGAGUUUUAAUCUCCUUUUCUGAAUUAUGCAAUUAAUUAAACAAUUGCUCCCCCUAUACAGAUCCUUGCAUUUCUUUCUAUAAAUAUCAAUUUGCCACCUUGAAUUCAAGCAAGACUUAAAACUUAUCCGGAUUUCAAAUAUUGAAAGUUUCGUAAUAUUGCUUUCUAUGUAUCUGCAGCAUGAAAUCCAAGGCCCCUUUUGUCGUGAUCACUCUCUUUGUGCUGAUUUUGCUGGUUGCACCUUCGGAUGCAGCAAUAUAUUGAAGAGCAUGAGCCCUUGUAUGACUCAUCUGAGGAGCAGCGGUGCCGGGGUGCCGCCAGCAGCGUGUUGUGCUGGACUAAAGAGUGUCGCGCAUCUUCAGCAAAAUCUGCUUCCGACAAAAUGGCAAUUUGUGGCUGCGUCAGGGCAGCUUUCCGGCAAACAAAAGUCACCGAUGCAACCGCAAAGGCUCUUCCUGGCCGGGGUGGAAUCACCCUUCCUUUCACAAUGUCCUCCAACAUCAAAUGCUCCUGAGCAUGUUACUUAAAAUCUUGUGGGAGCCAAACAAGGAGAAACUAGUGAACAACUCCUGUUUAUCUUCUCAACUAGUAAUACUAGACAUUUCUUAAAUUUCUUAAAGCUAUAAAGUGCCUACCAAAUAGUACAUGAUUCUGAGUGUUUUACUUAUUACAUGAUAUUUCCAUGGUAGCCUUGAAAGAUUUGUUGAUUCAAAACUUUCAGCUGAAAAAUCUAAAAAAAAAAAAUUGAGAAACAAGAAAACAUUUAAUAUUUGGGACAAAAUGAGUAUCUAUAAUCCACUUAGUACCAUUUCACUUUGCCAAUCUGUUUGGUAUAAGUAUGUAAGUACACACAUCUUCAAGAAAAUGUGGAUGACACUCUUAUUGACAAUUUGAGUACGUGAAUUAUACAAAACUAGACAUAUCUUUCAUCAAGUUUACACUCAAUUGUUUUUAUGAAAUUAUGUUUAUCUUUUCACGCAAGUUAAAAAAACAAAAAGAGUCAAAGGAAGUGUCAUUAACAGAUAAAGAAUGUGACAUGAACAUUUCUCAUAUCUGAAUCAGUUCUAACAUACUCUUUUGGCACUCUCUGUCACUUUUGCAGGACAAAAUGUGACUGGUUUAGUUUAAUUUGGAGCAUCAGAACACUCAAAAAGCAGCUUCAGUCAACGUUGUUACAUACUAGUGAUCAAUAAGCAUGGAUGUUUUGAUGGUUGCAUGUGUCUAUCUAUCCUUUUAGGCUUCUUGUACACGGUUUGUUACCAAUAGCAAUGAAUGGAUGAGUUGCUUGUUGGAGAGGAAUAAUCUUCUCUCCAGACCCUAACUUCUGAUAUAUAUAUAUAUAUAUAUAAGAACUUACUGCUUGAUACUACCACCGAUUAACCUGUAAAUAGUAGGAUGAAUUUUAAUUUUAAUUAACCUAUAGUAAGAAUAAACUCAUGUACGGUGAAAAAAAAAAUUAUACUCAUGACUUUGACCAUUAGAGUACCUAAACCUUUUGGCAUCUUAGUCUAUUAGGGGCAUGUUAUAAAAGAAAUUAAAGUGUGUUCGGAUAGGAGAUUCUUUGGGAUAAUUUUUUAAAAAAAUACUAUAAAAUUUUUUUGAUGUGACGUAUGUAAAAUAGAAAGGGUGCUAAAAAAUGGGUAUGCAAACAAAUAAAUUUGUGCAAAAAAAAGUCCAUCCAAACAGACCCACCAUAGUCUUCUUUCUAAAACCCCUCUUACCGAGCUUUCCUGAAAAAUACUCAUUUUAUUUUAUAUAAUAAUAUAUGUUAAAUGAGACCAAAAAGAUGAAAUGGGCAGAAAAUUGUGUAUAUCAAUGGAGGAAAUAACGAGGACAAUAAUUAUAUACAAUGACACUAUAGAACAAUGAAAGGGAUGUGGCGCAACUUGGUGGCGUGGCGCCUUUGUUUUGUAUUUGAAUGGAUUGAGAAAUAAGGGAGUAUAAGUGAGAGGUCUCGUGUUCGAAAUUUUUUAUUUGAACAAAAAAAUUUAAAAAAAAAAGGGCUUUGGACUCGUACCACAUCGAGGCUGAAUUUGUUUCAGAACAAUCCACAACAAGCGGUCAAGCCUGUCCGGUUCGGCCCAUAACAAGAAUCGAAACUCUGAAGAGAUUUAAGAUUUUGUUGAGUACACUAUUCGUUUGGGCCACGCUAAGCUUCAAUUUACCAUUUUAAGUAUUACGACCCAAAUACAGAUUUGUUCCCAAAAAAAAAAAAAAACCCCAAAUGUGCGCAAUAUCUAACUAAUCUUGGUUCAACCCCAGCUAAUUUUACAGAUUUCUCUUUUCGAGGCAAAUUUGAUUAUAAUGUUAAAAUCCUUGGGCAGAUUCGCUCCAUGCGUGAUAAUUAAUGGACUCAAAUGAUAUAGAUUUAAAUACGCAUAAGCACAAUGUGAUUUUUUUUUUUUUAUAAAAGUGAUUAAAUUAUGAUGUUUACGAUUUUUCCAAAAAAAAAAAAAUGAUGUUUACGAUGAAUCUAGUGAAAUUACACUUGCGAGCAAUGUAAUUACAAUUAAAAUUUGUGGAAGCUAAAUCAACCAUGAUGAAAUGAGAAAAAACUAUUUUACUUGUAGAAGUAAGUUUCCUUGUAUUUCUUUCUUUUCUUUUUGACUGAUAAAAUGAGGAUUUUUUUCAUUUCAUAUGUACCUUGUCCUUUUUUAAGUAAUAAUGGUCAUCGGAAUAUUUUGUGUGUACAAGUAGAGGUGUCAAAUCCUUCAGGACCACAUUAAAGAGAAGUGGCGUACAGGCUACUAUCCACCCGUGAACAAAAAUCAAAGCAUAUGCUAGAGCAUUUGCAAUUUUCUUUUUCCUAUCUUUUUUGAAGGAUCCAUAGCUAGUAGUAGUGUAGGGGUGGCAAUCGGGUCGGAUUCGGGUUUGCGAGUCUGUCGUCGGGUUGAGGCUUAAGCAUAACAAAAAAUCUGUUGACCCGAACCCGACCCGUCAAUCCGAAAUGGGUCAGGGUACAUGACACGAACCCGAAAAUUUCUGGUUGGCGGGUCGACCCGAAAUGACCUGAAACUUAAUUUAUUAAUUUAUCACUGUAAUUUCUAAUAAAAUCAAUUUUUCACAAAAUUAAUUACAUCAUCAAGUAAUAGAAAUUUAAAUAAAUAAUUUCAAACCAAAUCUAAAAUAAAUUAAACACCAUAAAAGUGUUUUAUCCCAAACCAAAUAUAAAAUAAAUUAAAACAGCAUAAAAGUAAAAAAUAACAUAAUAUAUUAUUUGUCCAAAUAUAAUAAUUUUAACUUCACACAAGUUAAAUAAAUUCAUUUAGGAUUAAGUAGUUAAUGCCUUUGGAAAAAAAAUGAUUUAGUUUAGUUAGAUAAAAUAAUUUUUAUGUUUAUUAAAUUAGUUUUAAUUCAUAAACGGGUCACAUCGGAUCAUAUCAGGUCACCACGGAUUGAUUCGAAAUUGACCUGUUUUCUUUUCGGGUUCAUCGGGUUCGACCCGAUUCUGACCCGAACUCUCGAAACCUCAAUCCAAACCCAUUAAUUUCGUGUUAGGUUCGUGUCGUGUUUUCGGGUCGUGUCAGGAAUUGCCACCCCUAACUAGUAGUAGUAGAGCAUUUGCUAAUCAGUAUUGGCAACAGAUUUGGAUAGUGAAAUAUUUGCAAAAAUUUAUUUACUCACACAAUCGACAUAUUUUCGAAUCAUCUUUUUAUCUCAUAUAAAAUACAUCAAAAAAUUGUUACAGCAUUUUUUUUUUCAAAAAAUUAUCCCAAAUAAUCUACUUUCAAAUAGUAUUUUAGACAGUACUGCUAUAGUUUUACCAAGCUCUGAUUUGCACAUCAUGCAAAUCUCGAAUUGCAGGAAUCUUGCCAUUGAAAAUCACUCACUCCAAAGACAGGAGCAAUUGCAAUUAUGAGAAUUUUACACUAAAAAGAGAUACAUGAAAAGGGCUCCUGUUUCUUGAUUUAAUCAAGAAACUUCACCACCUCCUUUUGGUCUCCAAACUUUGAGUGGAGAUCUCAAUUGAGGAGUCAAAACUUUCCAUCGACAGAAAAGAGGAAGACAAAGAUUCACAUGUUGCUAUAUGCUAAACUAACCUAUAAAGUGCUUGCUUCUAGUGAUAAGAAGACAAACAUGAAGUCUAAAAUU
This 25921-nucleotide long non-coding RNA is filed under the name Coffea arabica (coffee). RNAcentral describes it as "long non-coding RNA (CARA_LNC001090)". The record is from RNAcentral. Lineage: Eukaryota; Viridiplantae; Streptophyta; Magnoliopsida; Gentianales; Rubiaceae.